UACAUAUGUCAAAGGAACUUAUUUCAUUCGACUCCAGAAAUAUUUGGAUUCCAGUGAUUGGUCGAAUGCGCAUAAAAUUCAUUCUAUUCGCAAAUUGUUUAGCCAUUAGGAAUCUCCGAUUUACAAUGUAUGCAAGAGGAACUGAUAUCUCACGCCCGUAGAAGGGUAGACGUCCAGCGAUUGGACGGCGAACACCACACGAAUAUAAAGUCAUUCAAUUCUUAGAAUUUGCAGCCUUUGAGGAGGGAUAUUUGAUACAUAUGUCAAAGGAACUAUGAUUUCA
This 283-nucleotide unclassified non-coding RNA is filed under the name Athalia rosae (coleseed sawfly). RNAcentral's name for it is "misc RNA ENSAEAG00005010283.1". Lineage: Eukaryota; Metazoa; Arthropoda; Insecta; Hymenoptera; Athaliidae. The record is from RNAcentral.